RNAcentral lists this ribosomal RNA (411 nucleotides) under Verrucomicrobiota bacterium. Its description in RNAcentral is "Verrucomicrobia bacterium partial 16S ribosomal RNA". It matches the Rfam family "Bacterial small subunit ribosomal RNA", at positions 355 to 776 of the family's 1533-position model. The record is from RNAcentral. Lineage: Bacteria; Pseudomonadati; Verrucomicrobiota.
UGGGGAAUAUUGCACAAUGGGCGGAAGCCUGAUGCAGCGACGCCGCGUGGGGGAUGACGGCCUUCGGGUUGUAAACUCCUUUCGACAGGGACGAAGCUUUUUGUGACGGUACCUGUAUAAGAAGCACCGGCUAACUACGUGCCAGCAGCCGCGGUAAUACGUAGGGUGCGAGCGUUGUCCGGAAUUACUGGGCGUAAAGAGCUCGUAGGUGGUUUGUCGCGUCGUCUGUGAAAUUCCGGGGCUUAACUCCGGGCGUGCAGGCGAUACGGGCAUAACUUGAGUGCUGUAGGGGAGACUGGAAUUCCUGGUGUAGCGGUGAAAUGCGCAGAUAUCAGGAGGAACACCGAUGGCGAAGGCAGGUCUCUGGGCAGUAACUGACGCUGAGGAGCGAAGGUGCGGGGAGCAAACAGG